UACGUAGGAUGCAAGCGUUGUCCGGAUUUACUGGGCGUAAAGCGUGCGCAGGCGGUUAUUUAAGCCAGACGUGAAAGCCCCGGGCUUAACCUGGGAAUGGCGUUUGGGACUGGAUAGCUGGAGUACGGCAGAGGGAGGUGGAAUUCCACGUGUAGCAGUGAAAUGCGUAGAGAUGUGGAGGAACACCGAUGGCGAAGGCAGCCUCCUGGGCCAGUACUGACGCUCAUGCACGAAAGCGUGGGAGCGAAACAAGG
Molecule: ribosomal RNA, 254 nt
Filed under: uncultured bacterium
Lineage: Bacteria
Description: partial 16S ribosomal RNA
Rfam family: Bacterial small subunit ribosomal RNA
Source: RNAcentral